CCUACGGGAGGCAGCAGUGGGGAAUAUUGGGCAAUGGAGGAAACUCUGACCCAGCGACGCCGCGUGCGGGAUGAAGGCCUUCGGGUUGUAAACCGCUUUCAGUAGGGAAGAAGCGAAAGUGACGGUACCUACAAAAGAAGCACCGGCUAACUAUGUGCCAGCAGCCGCGGUAAUACAUAGGGUGCAAGCGUUGUCCGGAAUUAUUGGGCGUAAAGAGCUCGUAGGUCGUUUGUUACGUCGGAUGUGAAAACCUGAGGCUCAACCUCAGGCCUGCAUUCGAUACGGGCAAACUAGAGUUUGGUAGGGGAGACUGGAAUUCCUGGUGUAGCGGUGGAAUGCGCAGAUAUCAGGAGGAACACCAAUGGCGAAGGCAGGUCUCUGGGGCCAAUACUGACACUGAGGAGCGAAAGUCUGGGGAGCGAACAGGAUUAGAUACCCUGGUAGUCCAGACCGUAAACGGUGGGACACUAGUUGUGGGAACCUUCCACGGUUUCUGCGACGCAGCUAACGCAUUAAGUGCCCCGCCUGGGGAGUACGAUCGCAAGAUUAAAACUCAAAUGAAUUGACGG
RNAcentral lists this ribosomal RNA (569 nucleotides) under uncultured bacterium. RNAcentral describes it as "bacterial SSU rRNA". It matches the Rfam family "Bacterial small subunit ribosomal RNA", at positions 338 to 916 of the family's 1533-position model. The record is from RNAcentral.